This 580-nucleotide ribosomal RNA is filed under the name uncultured bacterium. RNAcentral's name for it is "bacterial SSU rRNA". It matches the Rfam family "Bacterial small subunit ribosomal RNA", at positions 43 to 637 of the family's 1533-position model. The record is from RNAcentral.
CGUGCUUACACAUGCAAGUCGAACGGUGAAGCAGGAGCUUGCUCCUGUGGAUCAGUGGCGAACGGGUGAGUAACACGUGAGAAAUGUGCCCUGGACUCUGGGAUAAGCGUUGGAAACGACGUCUAAUACCGGAUACGCGACGCGAAGGCAUCUUCAGCGUCGGGAAAGAACUUCGGUCCAGGAUCAUCUCGCGGCCUAUCAGCUAGUUGGUGAGGUAACGGCCACCAAGGCGACGACGGGUAGCCGGCCUGAGAGGGUGACCGGCCACACUGGGACUGAGACACGGCCCAGACUCCUACGGGAGGCAGCAGUGGGGAAUAUUGCACAAUGGGCGCAAGCCUGAUGCAGCAACGCCGCGUGAGGGACGACGGCCUUCGGGUUGUAAACCUCUUUUAGUAGGGAAGAAGCGAAAGUGACGGUACCUGCAGAAAAAGCACCGGCUAACUACGUAACAGCAGCCGCGGUAAUACGUAGGGUGCAAGCGUAUCCGGAAUUAUUGGGCGUAAAGAGCUCGUAGGCGGUUUGUCGCGUCUGCUGUGAAAAAUGGAGGCUCAAACUCCAGCCUGAAGUGGGUACGGGC